UGAACACCGUCCUGCCGAGGGGAGAGAGCAUCCUGUGACACAGUCCAGACGCAAGCAGUGGGGCUGGCAGCCCCCCCCCCUACGCUGAGGUUUUCCUCCAGAAAAUCCUCCCCGCACCUCUGCUGCAGCCCUCCUUUUUCCUCCCUUGGGGAUACCCACCGCCCUAGCCUGAGGAUCAGAGGAACAGCGGGAGGAUGGUGGCAGCAGCGAGAAGGGAAGAUUUUCAGCUGAUUCUCCGACGCCAAAAGAUUAUUAAUCGCUUAAAGAGCAGAACAUCAAACAUCGCCCCUUGCUCUAAUUUCCCUGGGGUUUGCCUGUGGGCAGGGUGCCUGUGCCAGCCAGCCCGGCAUCCUGAGGGUUCCCCAGCACCCAGAAUCUCCAUGGGCCUCUACCAGAGCAGCCCAAGGCCACAGCACCCCACCCCCGAUGCGGUCCCAUGUCCCAGGGCUCCAAGCCCAGGAGCACGGUGAGCCCCCAGGAAGCAUCUUCUCUGUGUUCACACCCAGCAACUUGCCAAGCAGAAGCCUCCCGGAACAAAUGAUUCCCUUCCCUGCCCUGGCCUGCAGCAAGCUGGAAGUGAGACACAGGAAAAUCCAGGAAAACAUGUAAAACAGUGAUUUCAAUGUUUCUAAUAUUAUCUCCAUUGGGAAUAAAGAAAGGGAGAUUACAGCUUAUUCUGACCCCAGAGUGGUAGAGUGUCCAGCUCAGCUCUGGGUGAAGGUGUUGCCCAGCCUUCGUGUUUCCAAACCAGUUCAGCCAUGCCUAAUUGUAGGCACUAUGCUAUGAGACCUAACAGAAGUACUUCGUCUUUAAUUAAUUUCCAAGUUUGCUCUCUGAGUGCUGUGCCAUAUGGUAUUGAUUUUUCAGCUUGGUAUGACAGCACUUGCCAUGAAAGAAA
This is a long non-coding RNA of Pseudopipra pipra, 898 nucleotides long. RefSeq lists it as uncharacterized. The record is from RefSeq and is a predicted model, not a curated record. Lineage: Eukaryota; Metazoa; Chordata; Aves; Passeriformes; Pipridae. The transcript is spliced from 3 exons.